AACGAACGCUGGCGGCAUGCCUAACACAUGCAAGUCGAACGAGACCUUCGGGUCUAGUGGCGCACGGGUGCGUAACGCGUGGGAAUCUGCCCUUCGGUUGGGAAUAACUGAGAGAAAUUUCAGCUAAUACCUUAUAAUGUCUUCGGACCAAAGAUUUAUCGCCGAGGGAUGAGCCCGCGUAGGAUUAGCUAGUUGGUGGGGUAAUGGCCUACCAAGGCGACGACCCUUAGCUGGUCUGAGAGGAUGAUCAGCCACACUGGGACUGAGACACGGCCCAGACUCCUACGGGAGGCAGCAGUGGGGAAUAUUGGACAAUGGGCGAAAGCUUGAUCCAGCAAUGCCGCGUGAGUGAUGAAGGCCUUAGGGUUGUAAAGCUCUUUUACCCGGGAUGAUAAUGACAGUACCGGGAGAAUAAGCUCCGGCUAACUCCGUGCCAGCAGCCGCAGUAA
RNAcentral lists this ribosomal RNA (449 nucleotides) under uncultured bacterium. RNAcentral's name for it is "partial 16S ribosomal RNA". It matches the Rfam family "Bacterial small subunit ribosomal RNA", at positions 29 to 523 of the family's 1533-position model. The record is from RNAcentral.